Molecule: unclassified non-coding RNA, 218 nt
Filed under: uncultured fungus
Lineage: Eukaryota; Fungi
Description: sequence contains ITS2
Source: RNAcentral
AAUUCUCAACUCCCCUCGGAUUCCAUCUGUAGGGUGAGCUUGGACUUGGAGGUUUCUGCUGGCGUUCGCCGGCUCCUCUUGAAAUCAUUAGCUUUGAGUUGAUCUCGACGGCUUGACCGGUGUGAUAAACAUCUACGCCGAUUUGUGCCGUCCUGAGCGACGAAUGUUGGAGAUGCUCUGGCUUAUAACUGUCUUCACCAGAGGACGAUGCCCUGAAC